UACGUAGGGCGCAAGCGUUGUCCGGAAUUAUUGGGCGUAAAGAGCUCGUAGGCGGUUUGUCACGUCGGCUGUGAAAACCCGAGGCUCAACCUCGGGCCUGCAGUCGAUACGGGCAGACUAGAGUGCUGUAGGGGAGACUGGAAUUCCUGGUGUAGCGGUGAAAUGCGCAGAUAUCAGGAGGAACACCGGUGGCGAAGGCGGGUCUCUGGGCCGAUACUGACGCUGAGGAGCGAAAGCGUGGGGAGCAAACAGG
Molecule: ribosomal RNA, 253 nt
Filed under: uncultured bacterium
Lineage: Bacteria
Description: partial 16S ribosomal RNA
Rfam family: Bacterial small subunit ribosomal RNA
Source: RNAcentral